RNAcentral lists this long non-coding RNA (204 nucleotides) under Ricinus communis (castor bean). RNAcentral's name for it is "long non-coding RNA (RCOM_LNC002157)". Lineage: Eukaryota; Viridiplantae; Streptophyta; Magnoliopsida; Malpighiales; Euphorbiaceae. The record is from RNAcentral.
CACAAGGCUAUUAAGGUCGAACCCGUGUACGCAUAAGCUAGGCCCGAGCGUGUUCAAGCUUUCAGAAGCCUAAGAGUGCUAAAACGAUUGCGUUUUAUAAAUGAUGGUUUAUAUCUGAAUGGUCUGGGUUGAAUCUGCGUGAGUAUAGGGUUGAGCCCGCACAUUUUUUAAUUCACAAAAAGGCAAGUGGGUCUUGCAACCCCC